GACGAACCGAGCGAACGUUGUUCGGAAUUAUUGGGCGUAAAGCGCGCGCAGGCGGUCCUUUAAGUCUGAUGUGAAAGCCCACGGCUCAACCGUGGAGGGUCAUUGGAAACUGGGGGACUUGAGUACAGAAGAGGAAAGCGGAAUUCCACGUGUAGCGGUGAAAUGCGUAGAGAUGUGGAGGAACACCAGUGGCGAAGGCGGCUUUCUGGUCUGUAACUGACGCUGAGGCGCGAAAGCGUGGGGAGCAAACAGG
This 253-nucleotide ribosomal RNA is filed under the name uncultured bacterium. RNAcentral's name for it is "partial 16S ribosomal RNA". It matches the Rfam family "Bacterial small subunit ribosomal RNA", at positions 524 to 776 of the family's 1533-position model. The record is from RNAcentral.